Molecule: non-coding RNA, 147 nt
Filed under: human gut metagenome
Source: RNAcentral
AGAAGUACUUGAUGUUCUGUAAAUAUCCAGCAAUGUUUGAACACGAUGUUCAAACAAGCCGCCGCUGAGCCAUGGAUGGCGAAUCGGCGGCGUUUGCGUCCGUUAUCAAAACUUAUAUCAGAACAUCUUUAGUACUUCUUAGUUUCA